RNAcentral lists this ribosomal RNA (463 nucleotides) under uncultured Pelotomaculum sp. Its description in RNAcentral is "bacterial SSU rRNA". It matches the Rfam family "Bacterial small subunit ribosomal RNA", at positions 921 to 1382 of the family's 1533-position model. Lineage: Bacteria; Bacillati; Bacillota; Clostridia; Eubacteriales; Desulfotomaculaceae. The record is from RNAcentral.
CCGCACAAGCGGUGGAGCAUGUGGUUUAAUUCGACGCAACGCGAAGAACCUUACCAGGGCUUGACAUCCCCUGACCGCGUAUGAAAGUACGUUUUCACCCUCGGGUGACAGGGAGACAGGUGGUGCAUGGUUGUCGUCAGCUCGUGUCGUGAGAUGUUGGGUUAAGUCCCGCAACGAGCGCAACCCCUACGUUUAGUUGCUAACAGGUGAAGCUGAGCACUCUAGACGAACUGCCGUUGACAAAACGGAGGAAGGUGGGAUGACGUCAAAUCAUCAUGCCCCUUAUGUUCUGGGCUACACACGUGCUACAAUGGCCGGUACAGACGGAGGCGAAGCCGCGAGGCGGAGCAAAUCCGAAAAAGCCGGUCUCAGUUCGGAUUGCAGGCUGCAAUUCGCCUGCAUGAAGUCGGAAUCGCUAGUAAUCGCAGGUCAGCAUACUGCGGUGAAUACGUUCCCGGGCCUU